AGUGAACGCUGGCGGUAGGCCUAACACAUGCAAGUCGAACGGCAGCACAGUAAGAGCUUGCUCUUACGGGUGGCGAGUGGCGGACGGGUGAGGAAUACAUCGGAAUCUACUUUUUCGUGGGGGAUAACGUAGGGACACUUACGCUAAUACCGCAUACGACCUACGGGUGAAAGCAGGGGAUCUUCGGACCUUGCGCGAUUGAAUGCGCCGAUGUCGGAUUAGCUAGUUGGCGGGGUAAAGGCCCACCAAGGCGACGAUCCGUAGCUGGUCUGAGAGGAUGAUCAGCCACACUGGAACUGAGACACGGUCCAGACUCCUACGGGAGGCAGCAGUGGGGAAUAUUGGACAAUGGGCGCAAGCCUGAUCCAGCCAUACCGCGUGAGUGAAGAAGGCCUUCGGGUUGUAAAGCCCUUUUGUUGGGAAAGAAAAGCAGCAGGUUAAUACCCCGCUGUUCUGACGGUACCCAAAGAAUAAGCACCGGCUAACUUCGUG
RNAcentral lists this ribosomal RNA (492 nucleotides) under uncultured bacterium. RNAcentral's name for it is "partial 16S ribosomal RNA". It matches the Rfam family "Bacterial small subunit ribosomal RNA", at positions 29 to 507 of the family's 1533-position model. The record is from RNAcentral.